AUUGAACGCUGGCGGCAGGCCUAACACAUGCAAGUCGAACGGUAACAGGAAGAAGCUUGCUUCUUUGCUGACUAGUGGCGGACGGGUGAGUAAUGUCUGGGAAACUGCCUGAUGGAGGGGGAUAACUACUGGAAACGGUAGCUAAUACCGCAUAACGUCGCAAGACCAAAGAGGGGGACCUUCGGGCCUCUUGCCAUCGGAUGUGCCCAGAUGGGAUUAGCUAGUAGGUGGGGUAACGGCUCACCUAGGCGACGAUCCCUAGCUGGUCUGAGAGGAUGACCAGCCACACUGGAACUGAGACACGGUCCAGACUCCUACGGGAGGCAGCAGUGGGGAAUAUUGCACAAUGGGCGCAAGCCUGAUGCAGCCAUGCCGCGUGUAUGAAGAAGGCCUUCGGGUUGUAAAGUACUUUCAGCGGGGAGGAAGGGAGUAAAGUUAAUACCUUUGCUCAUUGACGUUACCCGCAGAAGAAGCACCGGCUAACUCCGUG
RNAcentral lists this ribosomal RNA (490 nucleotides) under uncultured bacterium. RNAcentral describes it as "partial 16S ribosomal RNA". It matches the Rfam family "Bacterial small subunit ribosomal RNA", at positions 30 to 507 of the family's 1533-position model. The record is from RNAcentral.